GGGCAUUUGGUCUAGUGGUAUGAUUCUUGCUUAGGGUGCGAGAGAUCCCGAGUUUAAUUCUCAGAAUGCCCC
This is a transfer RNA of Ipomoea nil (Japanese morning glory), 72 nucleotides long. It matches the Rfam family "tRNA". Rfam says of the family: Transfer RNA (tRNA) molecules are approximately 80 nucleotides in length. Their secondary structure includes four short double-helical elements and three loops (D, anti-codon, and T loops). Further hydrogen bonds mediate the characteristic L-shaped molecular structure. tRNAs have two regions of fundamental functional importance: the anti-codon, which is responsible for specific mRNA codon recognition, and the 3' end, to which the tRNAs corresponding amino acid is attached (by aminoacyl-tRNA synthetases). tRNAs cope with the degeneracy of the genetic code in two manners: having more than one tRNA (with a specific anti-codon) for a particular amino acid; and 'wobble' base-pairing, i.e. permitting non-standard base-pairing at the 3rd anti-codon position. NCBI's taxonomy places the organism in Eukaryota, Viridiplantae, Streptophyta, Magnoliopsida, Solanales, Convolvulaceae. The record is from Rfam.